Vicugna pacos (alpaca) is the source of this 2207-nucleotide non-coding RNA. NCBI's taxonomy places the organism in Eukaryota, Metazoa, Chordata, Mammalia, Artiodactyla, Camelidae. The record is from RefSeq and is a predicted model, not a curated record.
UCCGCGGGGGCGGACCGGACCCGGACUUGUGCUGGUGAAGACUAUCGCACCGUGAUGUUCCCCAGGGUAGACAGACUCACACCUGACGUGCGCCGGGGUAGACACACUAGUGAAGACAACAGCGCGCGAUUCCCCCUGGGGCAGGUGGAGCGGACCGCCUUCUGCCGGCGUGGAUGUGCUGGCCUCUCUGCCUGCCGGACGGGACGCUCUCUGCCGGGUAAACAGAGCUGGCGCGCCUCUGGGCCUCGAGCGAGCGGCCGCGUUCCCCUCCUCGGGAGUCGGGCGCCAGAGUUGAACGCGCUCUCUCUGGGUUUGCGACACUAACGCCUAGGUUUGCGGAGAACCUCCGAAAACGAAGUAUUCCCCGACCCCGGGAAGCCAGCUCCUUCCCUGUAGCUCCGAGCCGGGGGCUCCGGCUCGUGGAGCACCCGCGGUGUGCGGGGAACGCAGGGGCCUCAGAGCCGCCCGCCCGUCGUCCGGUGCCUCAUCCAGCACGGCGUCCGGACUAGAAGCAGGGGCACUGGCUCAGCCCGCCCACUGCGGGACGGGCCAGUCACUUAGCGAUGAAGUUCAGCCGUGUUGGAGCCGAAGGGCGGCAGGUAUAGGGUGAAGGAAGCUGAGGUGGCGGCCUGAGUUCGGCUCCCUCGCCCAGUACCGGGCUUUGAAUUCCUCUGCUGGCUCCCUGCCUGGCUCCUCUGCUAGGAUUCCCGGAUUCCUCUCGGUGCUGGGGACCUGGGUGCCCCUCCCUCAGCCCCUCCCCCACCUUCUUCUCACCUGCUCACCUGCCUGACGCUCUAGGGACAGCAGCCAUGCUGCGCUGCGUAAACCUCUGCCGUCCUGCCAGGACACACCUCGGGCUGUUGGCAUGCCUCCAGAACGGCGGCUUUGUCGUCCAGGAUCCAGGGGCUGGCAGCAGGGGAGGUCACCAGUGACCUGGAUGCCUGGUCAGGGUGCAGCUCUUACUAGAGAUCUGGGGCACACAGAUGCUGUACCUCUGCUGUGCAGAAGGAAAGCCGGGCCUGCACAGGGUAGUCCGCAUGUGCUCUCCAGCUGCAGUGUCCCGGGAUCUGAGUCCUUUGCUGUGCAUGCAUAGAAACAGGGAUGUUUCCUAAGAAAUUUCCUCCCAAACUUGGACUGUUGAAAUGGUUUGAUUUACUCAGAAGGUACUUACCACCUCCUUUCUGCCAGCCACUGUAUGACACCUGUCAGGUUCCUGGGGGGUGUGACAUUCCAAUGGAGGGAGACAAAACAGUAAACCAAAGAACAGAGAAUCACAUCUGAGUAAGGCAGAUGGCUGAGCCAGGGAAGACUGUGCAGGGACCAGGGAGGGAGCUGAUUUCCAGGCAGAAGGACCCACCUGUGCAGAGGCCCUGAGGUGGGCAGGAACAGAACUGUGUGCUUGAGGAACAACGGGAAGACCAUUGUACCUAAGACACUGUGAACAAGGGCACAGGUGAAGAGACCAGAUGGGAAAGUCUGCAGGGAUAUGUAGUGAUAGAGGUUGAAAAAUCCUAAGUGUUUGGUGCUUGCCCAGUGUUGGUGGAUAUGGCAGUGAAUUCCUGGUCAACAAAUCCCAUCUGGGCACACACCUGAGCGGAGUGCCUGCACUGGGCAGCGGAGGCUUAAAGUCCUCCCCACGGUGCUGAAAGAGCUCAGCUCAGAGGCACCCCAAGUGUAUCAACAUGAGGAUGAAAAUAUGAAUCGUGACCUUUAUACAAAGGAGAGUAGCACGUAAAGUGAAUGAAUACAGAGAAGCCUCAAAAGUGAUGCUGAGUAAAAGGACAGCAAGUUACAAAGGGACCAGAACAGUAUGGUGUCGUUUAGAUCACAGCAAAUAUGUCCGCAGUCACCAAACAUUAAGAGCAGCUGAGGGACAGCAGCCGAGAGAUGCAGUCUCCUUGGACCCAAGGCCAGGCUUUCGCUCUGUCUGCCCUGCUGGUGACAAGAUACUGGCCGCCGACCCUGUUCAUAGGUCACCAUGCACACUGGGCGCUGUUGAUUCGCUGAGAGGGUUUGUGUCCCUGGCAGCCCUGUCCACAUAGCCUGAGGGGAAAUCCCCAUGUCCUGGUUCCCUGACUGAGCUUUUCCAAAAGCACUUAAACAUCUGCUCACUGUGGACAAAGUAGGAAAACAAAGACGAUCCACAGGUGCCUGUCUGAAGCAGCUGAAAGUUUUACUCAAGCACAACAAGAAAAGAGCUGCAUUUU